CUGAGUAUUUAGGAGUGGAAUAUAAUGGCAUAACCCCUUUUUUUCCUAUUUGUAUAGGUCCAGCUGCGCUCUUCGGAAUACUAGAAGGAACACAUUGGAGCCCAUUCCUUGUAGCUGGUGCAUCGACGCCUUACCAGCUUCAGCACUGCGACGCGAUGAGCCCAGUGACGAGUGGGCUGCUCCAUGGAUAACGUGGUGUGUUCCCCUGCCUGUAUGUAGGAGAAGGUCCAGCUAGCAAGCCAGAAUCGAGGAAUUCAAAGAAACAGAGAAGAAGAUACUGUACGUUGAGUUGGAGGCUUUUUUGGAGACUGCAUCCAUCUGGAAUUGAAAGAAAACAGCGGUGCCAUUUUUCUGAGUUUGUCAAAACACAGCUCUAGCUGUUGCAAGCAAAUGAGAGUUGAAGGUCAGAGUGUCAAUUCUUCUGGAGUUACGACGCGUUUUUAAUCAUCUUACGGCAUCUAGACUCACAACAGGCGAAACGUAGCGGAGGAGGAGGAAGAUGGGGACGUAAUUCAGAAGAUACGUUUGGAGCAGCUGUCCUUCUGGUUGACAGAAGGACUAGACAAAAAGGACUUCAUGAACGGACUCUUGAGUGGGUUGAGACUUGGCUGGACUGCUCUUCUCAGUGGGUAGUGAUCCAUGGUGCAGCCUCCAGCUGGCAUGGCACUCUGUCAUCCUGAAGUGAGGCUGUAGGAGAGCUAAAGAAAUGGGCACGGACCAGUUCCCAGAGGAGACCGAACGGGUGCACAGGAUCAGUGGUGAGCAAAAAUACUGUUACCUCCCCCCGAAACUGGAGCACUAAAUGUGUUUCUGGUUGUAGAGCUUAAAUCAUUACCAUACCAUAUUCAGAUAGCAUUUGUUUCCCAGAUGCAUAGCUAGCGCUGUACUCUGGGAGGGGAAAACAGCAAACGAG
RNAcentral lists this long non-coding RNA (913 nucleotides) under Struthio camelus australis. Its description in RNAcentral is "lncRNA (ENSSCUG00000000734.1)". The record is from RNAcentral. Lineage: Eukaryota; Metazoa; Chordata; Aves; Struthioniformes; Struthionidae.